Long non-coding RNA from Oreochromis aureus, 695 nucleotides. RefSeq lists it as uncharacterized. Lineage: Eukaryota; Metazoa; Chordata; Actinopteri; Cichliformes; Cichlidae. The transcript has 3 exons. The record is from RefSeq and is a predicted model, not a curated record.
GUGAGGAAGAUGCUCUCAGGGAAACAAGAAGUUCCCAUAAGAAAUCUGCAGCUAAAGCAGGAUGGUUACACCGUGGAGCGUGGCAGCUAUUGAGCAGUGUCAUGUGGGAGACCAAAUAAAGGUUUCUCAUGUAAAGGUGAAACAGUCUACCUAUGGAGUAGAGCUGCACACAACAUCUUUAACAAAGAUUGGGACAAAAGAAGAAGACCGACUGAGGUGCCUGUAUUGGCAUUGCCAGUGCUGACAUGUCCAACCAGAUGGAGCUACUGUUAGAAAGUGGAGAAACCCUGCAUAUUGAAACAGAUGUGGAGGCCAUUUGAUAAAGAUCUGGAAAAGGCCAUGGUUAGUGUUUAGAUAAAAGUCAAAGGCAAGCAUAUUACUGAAAUAGAAAACAACAGAUUGUCAGUAGUGAAAGAAAAGCAUUUGUGAUUUGUGUGUGUUGUUAAGUGUUCUGUAAAUGUAAAUCUACGGUAAUGAUAGAUCACACAUUACAAAAAGUUUACAACGGUUUGAAAAAGUUAUAGUUUAAACAGGUUUUAAAAGUGUAUUGUUUAUAUGAACAAAAUAUUAAUAAAGAGUUGUAAAUACAUACAACAGUGUUGUGAUUAUGAAAUGAAACUGAAAAGCAUGGUUAAUACGACAUGUUUUAAGGAACAUUUCUACUCCAGGUUGUGUACAUAUUUACAAAUGUCAUC